RNAcentral lists this ribosomal RNA (468 nucleotides) under uncultured bacterium. RNAcentral's name for it is "partial 16S ribosomal RNA". It matches the Rfam family "Bacterial small subunit ribosomal RNA", at positions 28 to 507 of the family's 1533-position model. The record is from RNAcentral.
GACGAACGCUGGCGGCGUGCUUAACACAUGCAAGUCGAACGGAAAGGCCCUGCUUUUGUGGGGUGCUCGAGUGGCGAACGGGUGAGUAACACGUGAGUAACCUGCCCUUGACUUUGGGAUAACUUCAGGAAACUGGGGCUAAUACCGGAUAGGAGCUCCUGCUGCAUGGUGGUGGUUGGAAAGUUUCGGCGGUUGGGGAUGGACUCGCGGCUUAUCAGCUUGUUGGUGGGGUAGUGGCUUACCAAGGCUUUGACGGGUAGCCGGCCUGAGAGGGUGACCGGCCACAUUGGGACUGAGAUACGGCCCAGACUCCUACGGGAGGCAGCAGUGGGGAAUAGUGCACAAUGGGCGGAAGCCUGAUGCAGCAACGCCGCGUGCGGGAUGACGGCCUUCGGGUUGUAAACCGCUUUCGCCUGUGACGAAGCGUGAGUGACGGUAAUGGGUAAAGAAGCACCGGCUAACUACGUG